GUGCCAGCCGCCGCGGUAAUACAGAGGUGUCAAACGUUGUCCGGAAUUACUGGGCGUAAAGGGCGCGUAGGCGGCCAUAUAAGUCAGAUGUGAAAGCUCUGGGCUCAACCCAGGAAUUGCAUCUGAUACUGUAAGGCUUGAGUUCGGUAGAGGAGGGCGGAAUUCCAGGUGUAGCGGUGAAAUGCGUAGAUAUCUGGAGGAACACCCGUGGCGAAGGCGGCUCUCUGGUCCGAAACUGACGCUGAGGUGCGAAAGCUAGGGUAGCAAACAGGAUUAGAUACCCCGGUAGUCC
This 292-nucleotide ribosomal RNA is filed under the name uncultured bacterium. RNAcentral describes it as "partial 16S ribosomal RNA". It matches the Rfam family "Bacterial small subunit ribosomal RNA", at positions 505 to 796 of the family's 1533-position model. The record is from RNAcentral.